CAGAAAGCAGGUGAGCAGUUGCUAGGGGCUCGGAGAGGGGGUAUGGAGGGUUGCCACCCUGCAACCAGGGAGAGACAGGCCAAAGAACAGAGAGAGGAGCCACAGAAAGGAUUCCAAGCUCACUUCUCGGCAUGCCGUCUGCACUGCUGUGGUCCACGCCAGCAUCACCUUUUACCUGGACCAGGAGGAGAGCCGCUGGAUGCUCAGAACUCUCCCUUUUUCAGAUUAGUCUCUGCCAAAUGACUCUACACAGAAAUAUUCUGCGAUGACAGAUACACAGUGAUGGAAUUCAGGAUGAUAAAGGAAGUCGCCAUUUUUGGUAGAGGAUAUCAUUUUUCUGAAGCUGAGAACAUUAGAAUAUUUUUAACCACACGAGGCAAAUGGCCCAUAGUCAAUGUUCAAUAAAUAUUUAUUCAAUGAGCUAAUGA
Molecule: long non-coding RNA, 428 nt
Organism: Phyllostomus hastatus (greater spear-nosed bat)
Lineage: Eukaryota; Metazoa; Chordata; Mammalia; Chiroptera; Phyllostomidae
Exons: 3
Source: RefSeq, a predicted model, not a curated record